Panthera uncia (snow leopard) is the source of this 882-nucleotide long non-coding RNA. RefSeq lists it as uncharacterized. NCBI's taxonomy places the organism in Eukaryota, Metazoa, Chordata, Mammalia, Carnivora, Felidae. The transcript has 3 exons. The record is from RefSeq and is a predicted model, not a curated record.
UCUUAGCCUGGCCCGGGCGCAGAGCAGGAAGUUCACACACGCGAGGAGAAGCCUCUCCAGAAGCAUUUGCACAGCUCUCCACCGUCCGGCCAAGAGCCGGGCCGCUGGGGUAGCCUGGCAGGGUCCCCGAAGCGAAAGUCAAACGGGCACCCAAAGAUACCUUGGGGAUCUUCCAAGCGGACAGAUGGACAGAGCCACCCGUGCACCGAGAUGCGGACAGAAUGCAGAGGUUGCCUGUGCUUGCACUCCCCCCCCCCCCCCAGGCCCUCUCUGACUCCAGUGAGAGCAGUGCGCUUGAGCUGCCAGUUAUGGGGGCCUGAGGAGGCUGAGCUGGCCUCUGCAGGAGACCACAGACUCUUCCCAAGGUGGACCCCAGCCAGGCAUUUUCUCUAAGACUUCUAAUCAGAGUGACCACAUUGACCACUGUGUUCUUGGAUGUCCAUCCUGCGCCAGAAGCCCAUAAUAUAUCACUUUAUAAUUGCUCCAGAUUUUUUUUUUUUUUUUUUGCCUUUUAGGGAUAGGUGUAAUGAAUUCAUUGUCAUGGCCCAUUUAAUAUAAUGGGGGGGAGGGGAGAGUUAAAAACACCCAUCAUUCAUCCCCCUAUUUUGUCACCCUAAGCUAAGCUCCAUUACUGGGAAGGGGAAGGAGCCAGCCUUCCCUGUCAUUUACCCUGACCAAAUCCCAACCUCUGUUCAAAGUCCACACCUCUGCUGCAUUUGCAAUUAUUCCCAAUUAAUUACAAAAAAGCUGAGCUCCCAAAGAUUAAGAGGAGUUCACCAAAGCCCAAGAUAGUGGGGAGCAGAGUUUGGAGUUUCUGACUCCAAAGCUCUACUCAUUCGUGCCUACUCGUGCCUACUACUCGUGCCUUAUUUGUAUUAAAAA